RNAcentral lists this long non-coding RNA (3365 nucleotides) under Sus scrofa (pig). Its description in RNAcentral is "lncRNA (ENSSSCG00005041701.1)". The record is from RNAcentral. Lineage: Eukaryota; Metazoa; Chordata; Mammalia; Artiodactyla; Suidae.
UUUUCCGACCCCCACGCCCCUGGGAUGGUAAAGCUGCAGCCCACCUCGUCCUGGGGCAGAGCCUCCUUGCCUGCCUGCUUGCAUCUCUCACCAGCGUCCUAUCCUAACACCUCUGUUUCGUGCCCAUCACUUUGUCUCUCGCUGAAUUCCUUCUGCGUGGAGACAUAGAGAACCUCAGUGAGUCCAGACACAGGAGGAGAGCGUUUCCCAGACUCCUUGCCCCUGAGUGAGGAUACGUGCCUGGUUCUGGCCAAGGGGCUGUGGCUGAUACAGCAGGUGUCACUCUGAGUCAAAGCAAAGGAUGUGCAGACAUGAAGUCUCCACGCUCUCUCUUCUUCUCCCCUUGUCUCAAGGUGUCAGAGGCACCAGCUUAUGAGGGAUGUAUGAUUGUCAGCACCUCCACUUUACAGAAGAGGACACCUGGGUAUGAUGAUAAGCUGCCCAAGGUCCCAUAUCUGGUGCUUCAUAAUCCUGGCAAAGCCACUAAGCUGAGCAGAGCUGCAGAAAUUCCCUGGCUUUCCUGCUGGAAGGUGUCGAUCAAUGAGGGCGCUCUCGGCCUUUGAUGUCAGGCAUCCACGCCCGCUUCUGUAAAGACUUUCGGCUCCACAAGAGAACGGGAAGUCACUGUGAAGAAAGAGGCAGGCGAUGUAACCGGAAAAGCGCAGGUUUGAUGUCAAACAGACCUGCGUGGUUCCACCGCUUUCCGACUGUGUGACACCUCCCUCCCCCACCCCCGGCCCAGUUGCUCUCUGAACCUAAGUCUUGGAAAAUGGAACCAAUAAUACCUGUUCUUCAAGACUGUUUCUGCUGGAAGCUCCAAGAUUCAUCUGAAGGCGUGAUCACAUCCUCGAUGUUGAGUGGACCAUGAGCCGGCUGCCAGAGACAGGGUUCCAAGCCGGGCCAGGCCCAUCCCAAUGCCCACCCGAAAAGACGGGACAGGGGAAAGAAACAAAAUCCUGGGGCUCCAUUGGCUUUCUUUUUGACUCCAGCUGAAGUUGCUGCAUAGUGUGGCCUUGCCAGUCCUCGCCUUGAAAAAUGAGCGGAGCUCCUUUCUUUAUGAACUUUGGUGACGUGGCAUUAUGAUGUUACGGCAGAAGAGAUUAAUAACAGCGCCUCGUUUCUGUUCCGCCACCAUUAGAGGGCUGGAAGCGACUGACGUGAUGGAUCAUCUAAUCCCACAGCCUCAUUUUGCAGAGGACCCCGAGCCUCGACUUGGCCAAGGUCACACAGCUGGGCCACACCCAUGGCGUAUGGUUUUCACAUGGAAUCGGAGCUGCAGUUGCCGGCCUAUGCCACAGCCACAGCAAGGUAGGAUCUGAGCCAAGUCUUUGACCUACACCACAUCUCACGGCAAUUCCAGAUCCCUGGACCCACUGAGUGAGGCCAGGGAUUGAACACGCACCCUUAUGGAUACUAGUUGGAUCACAACGGAACUCCCUGAAAAAUCAAGGUCUUUAAAGCAAUUCAUCAACCCCACCAACAUCUUGGCAUAAGAAAAUUGAUUCUGUAAGUCAAAAGAACUUAUAACAUGGUAUAUUGGGAGGAUGGCAGGGCUUGGUAAGUGGUAGCAACGCAGCUGGUAGAUUUUUCUUUGUUGUGUCCUUGUCCUUACGCUCUUUUUAGCCACAUUUUCAUUCAGGAUUCUUGGGUUGGAAGCAACAGAAAUGGACUCUUUUGGCCUUAAGCAAAAAGAAAAUUUGUUGAAAGGGCAUGGAGGAGUUCAUAGGAUUGACUAGAAGUUUGGAGAAGUAGGCUCAGGAGUCAAGGCAUUUAUGGAGGAGGGUAGGGUAGAGAGGUGAUAAAAAUAAUGCAACAGUCUUAUUUGGAAAUUGUACUGGAAUGUAAGAGUUUCAUCUUUCCUCCUCCCUUCCCCUCUCUCUCUUUCUGCCACUUCAUUCGAGAUUCCAAUUUCAGCGAAGGAGCAUCCAAUUGGCCUGUCUUGGUCAGAUUCCCACCACCCCCAUGGUUAGGGGAACACAGCAUAUUCGAAAUGGCAUUCCCACGAGGUACAUUCCAUGGAAAAGUAAUACCACAAAGAAAAUAUGGACACAGUUAUCAAAGGAAGAUAAAACAGGUGCUGGGUAGCCAACAAUAGCCUAUUUCCACUAUAUCCUUUAAAAAAAAUCCCAGUAACUCUUCUAUGAUUACUGAUGUUUCAGGAGAGAAAUUUAACGAUGGAAGAGUGUAUACAUAGUGAUGAAAAGAAUGGGAGGAUUUAUAAGAUACAAGUCAUUUUCUUUGAGUUGUGGGACAAUGGUUGGGUCCAUUUUUCUUCUGUUGUUUUUUCCUAUAGAGCACAUUUAUAACCUUUUAAAAGUAAACUAUGUUUUCUACUUUAAGAUGAGUGAAAUGAGGGGGGAGUGUCCUUUUGACUGGGGACAUAGUCACUAGUUACUCUAUGUUAAUAACAGAAGCAUACAUUCCUCUCGAGGGGCAACAGUGUUCUUAUACAUUAAACUCUCAACAGAAACCAAAAGAACCACCACCAAAAAAAUCCCACCCAGUUUGGAAAGGACUUGUGCUUGUGGGUCGGGGGCAGAAGGAAGCAAUUUCCCUCCAUUUUCUGCCUGAGCAGGCCUUUUGCACUUUGAUAUUCGUUUCACUAAUAAGGUGUUUCAUUAUUUCUCCCACAAAAAGAGCUGGUGCUGUUAUGAGAUGCUGUUGAAGACUCUGGUUUGCCCAGAUGUGCCGCAGUGAAAACAGCCUUUCUCUGACGUGCAUGACUUGUGAGGAUGAUGGGACCUGUGGGAAGAGGGGAUCCUUUUUCAGAGUUUGGAAAGAGAGACAAAAUAACGCCAUCUGCCCUGCAUGGAUGACAGAAACACGUUCUUCCCUAAUCAGUGGGUCACUCACUUCCGCACUAUGUUGCAGGGAAGCAUCAUCUGAUUCCAAGCCUAAGGCUGGGUCAUCCGCGGCACUGACUUCUCCCGACCCUUCUCCGAGCUUCCCGUGCCAGUUUUCAUCAUCAAAUUUCUCUGCUCCCUUGGACCAGCGGAAAAGAAGUUAUGAGCUCUCUCCAUCAUUCGCCGGUCUCUUCGGCCCUUCCUCCUUUGAAGUUUUCUUAUUCGGGGUCUUUUUUCGCUUCUUCUCCAUGUUUCAUCCUCUCUCACUGUAACCUUUUUAUCUCUGGAGAGUUCUCUCUGUGCCUCUGGGCCCUUCUCUUUCUAGUUGGUUCUCAGAACCCAUUCUGGGAUUCUAUUUCAGUCCAUCCGUCUCUCCAACAGACCACGGGUGAAACCAGGGCCGGUAAUCAGUCCCAGCUGCUGGAGGCGUCCGCUCUGGGUCGGCCCCACGUUUGUGGGCUGAUGUUUUGCUUCCCAUAAUGCUCUGGGAGUACUGCUGCUCAGAGCUUGGCUUGUGCUUUU